CGUCUCCCAUACUCCCGUUACCUUCUCGUAUGCCCUCUCCUUCCGGGUCAUCUCUCCAACUCUUGGGCGAGCGCGCGGUGCGCCAAUGGAGACUUGGACUAGGGCUUCGCUUUCCCUCUCCUCCCCAUCUCCGCGGCAUGCUCAAUUCGGCUUGAAAGAUGUCACGACAGAUGAACCGAUGAUGCCUGGUGGCGGGGGCGGUGCCGACUGAAAGCAGCGUGGCACGGAGGUUCUGAUUUGUGUGUCAGCAUACAGUGAAAUAGUUCUUGAUUGAGGUCCCAAAAUAGGGUUGACAAAUCUGGCACUCCCUCCUUCCAAAUAUAUAAGGCCAACACACAAUUUUAUGCUCCCUCCAUCCCAUAUUAAGUGACUCAAAUUUGUCUAAAUAUGAAUGUAUCUAUAUACUAAAAUACGUCUAGGUACAUGUAAUAUUUUGGCACUUAAUAUGGGACGGAGGGAGUACCAAACUUUGACCAAUUGUUAGAUAAAGUUAUACCAUUAAAAAUAUUUUUCAAUGUGAAUCCAAUGGUAUCACUUUUGCAUUGCACUAACCUCAUACUACUAGUCUAAUAGCUAAUCAUUGUUGGCAUAGAAUUCCACGUCGGCCUUAUAUAUUUGAAGGAGAGAGUAAACAACUAACUAGUUUGGAAGUGUGGUGUGGUCUAGUCAGUGGUUUGCAGCCAAAUCAGGCAAUCACCUUCAACUGAAAGGUUAGUAAAGUACUCCCUCAUUCCCAAAUUAAAUGUAGUUUUAGGAUUUUUUAUCUUUCCCAGAAAAAAUGUUGUAUUAGGCAGUCGAGGCCAACCAGCCCUUAACGCUAAUUAAGACUACAAAGAAAAAGGCCUUCCGACUGCAUGCAGUGGCUCAGAGUCCUGCAUGCAGGAGCGUUCACACCUCUGCAUGCCAACCGAGGCGACCUUUUGCCUUCCACCUACCGAUAUUUCUCCUUGGUAAACGUCCAGCAGCCACCGAAUAAAUCUCCUUGGUAUUAGAGAUAGAACUAAGACGACGUUUAAAUUGAAACGGAGGGAGUACUGAAAUCAUGCGGUCAAAGAUAAGGAGGCAUCUAAAUAAUAGGAGAAUAUUAUUGAUAAAGAUGUCAUAAUCAGCUCAGUCUUGCUGAACUACAAGGAAUGUAAAUAAAACAGCAUAGAUAAUAUGCGCACAAUUUGCUAUUUUCAGGCCCGAGUUAAGUUCUGCAUCCCAGUUACCACUUACCAGGUAGAAAUAAGCUGUUGCAGUCACAUGAAAAUGUCAAUCUUAUUCAGCAGCACAAGUAUCGAUCAUGUUGCCCUAUCCUUGAAUAGAAUAGACAUAAACAAGCAAACAAACCUUUCACGAGCUUGACGUAUUAUCCUUUUAAUAGGGAAAUUAACGCCAAUUAUUAGUCAAAUCUGACGAACAGUCAUACCGUUUAUACUAUAGGAGGCAGAAAGCUACUUCAGGGUAAACCAAGAGUGAUCUACAUUGAACUCCCAUAUCAUGCUGAUCUGAUGGUAUUGUACAAAUAGUUACAUUAACAGUAAAAUGGCUAAAGGUGAUACAAGUGUAGGGGACAUAUUGUUUGGAGAGGUUUUUGCGUCGGAAGUACUGCAAUGAGGAUAAUGACAAGCAAUAUGAUCAUAUUGUUGUUCAUGUUUGUCUUUACGUGCCUGUUAUGGCUUGCCUGAGCAUCAAGGGAUUUUGACCUGAUCGAUUAAUUGUGAUUUUCGAACUACAUGGGUCCUGUUCCUUGAUUUGCAAACCCAAAUUGCUAUCGUUGCCUCUCUUUUUUUCUGCAGAUUGUUGCUACAGUUUUGUUUGAUUGGCAUGCCUUGACAUAUGUGUACAGCUUUAUGGUUGAGAUCAAUUAAUAAAGUGAAUAUGAACUGUCACAAAAUUUGUGUCCUAUGUCAUGGACGUGGACCCUGCCCCUAGGGCAAGAACGGAGUUACAACUGUUCAAGUGUACUAUAGCGCAUGGUACUCAGCACAAUACAUCCUGAUCUGAUUUAAUCAAAUCAAGAGAUAAGGAUCUUAUUUAGGAAGUUAAAGAUAGAGGUAGAAACAGUUAGAGGGAAGAGUAGUUUCCUUCCAAUUAAAGAUUGUUAUGGAUUAGUUCUUAGGCUUCAUGCCCAGUCUUUUGUAUACUCCCUUAUUCCUUAAUAUAAGGCAUAUUAAGUUUCAUUAAGAUAAGGCUUUGAUCACAAAUUACUAUGUUACGAUAUGGUUUAUAUGACAUGAAAUUAGUAUCGCUAGAUUCGUUAUCAAAAGUACUUCAUAAUUGUUGUGGAUUCAUAUCUGAUUAAUUCUUGGUCAAACCUAACAAAACUUAAUAUGACUUAUAUUAAGGAAUGGAGGGAGUAAUGGAGACACCAUGUACUGAUUUAUAAGUUAUAACUAAGCAAUGACGAAACCUCUCUUACCAUGCUACAUAUUAAGCCUUGCCGGCGGGCAGACGAGGGCAAGUGCCCUAUCCAUAAUUUGUCCGAUUCUUUGCAGGAACUACCUGUAAUAAGGAACAUGCAAAAUGGAUCUGCUUAUCAUAAAGAGAUUCGUUGUUCCUCACCCUGCUUCACCUUAAUUGUUAUUUGAACAAAAAGAUCACAAUAAACUUUUGGUAAAAAUUCUGUCUUGGUCGCAGUGGGGAUUGCGGUCUUCAGACCUUCUUCAAGUGUUCUUCACAAUAUAUUUCCUGCCGUGAAACGAAAACCGGUUGCUAACUCUGUUACUACUAUUGGUCGGGUACAAGGUUUGCUGAUCAACCUUCAAAUCAUGGUUUGCUUAUACUAAUAUUGCUUUCAUGAUCAAUUCCUUGAUUCCUGGUGCACUAUAUGUCAUGACUUAUAAACACAUGAUGUGUGGUGGCGGUGGCGAUGCUGACUGAAAACAGCGUGGCACGGUGCGAUGUUGACAUCCCGUGGAAAUUCUUUCUUUGCAAGGCAGGCAUGCUACUGCACCAUGUUCCCUCACCCUUUGCAGCAUAUCAUGCAUGCCGUACCGUCCUUGAUCUCUUCUCUUAAAUGUGCUUAAUUAGUAACCCUGCUAUGUAUUAGAUACCUAGAAAACUUAAGAAUGAAGAUAGCUUUCCAUCGGAGAUUACUGCAGAGAACAGCGAUGGCUACACCUGACCUGGAAGAGAAAGGGACUAGCCUGGAGCCAUCGGGAGAGAGCACUUCAGUCUCACCGGGAGCAUGUUAGUCCUCUAGCUCUGCCACACAUGGACGGACUGGGCUCGCCGACGCAUGACACGGCGGUUUACUCUUUAAUUUCCUAUACAUAAUUCAGAGUGAUUUGCUCCUUGAUAGCGACGGCCAUGGACUCUCUUCCGGAGCUCCCAACGGCUGCAAAACCUUGUGAGCUUGUCGGGUGACAACUACAUCUGCCGGUGCAGUUUCAGUAGUACUACACCUCACAAGAUCUACAGUUGGAGUGGUGGAUUCUUGUGGCUUUAAUUUCCUGUUUCUUUGGACUCUUAUGCUUGAGACUCGAUUUGCUGGUUGUUGCUUUCUUGUGGAGGUCACCGAUGGGCACUAAAAUGGCUAGUCAGGAAUGAGGAUACAGUUUCUGGUAGCUAAAGAAAACCGGUUUUUGUGUGACAGCUCCUUUAACCUGCCCAGAGUGUCAGAGUAGACAUUUGAGAUUGCUUGAUUGUGUUUAGCUGAACUUGCCUUAUAAUUUGCUUUGAGAAAACGGGCACAAAAACAGGAGAUAUCUGGGAUUAUCAUAAUCCACUGCAAUAACAAAUGCAGUUUUAAGUACGGUGAAAUUCCAUUAUGAGAUUUCUUUGUGAAAGGCUAGGUUAAAUUCCAUUAUGGGAUUUCUUUGGGAAAGAAUAGCCAUCGAGUAGUUUGUCAUGAUAUUUAAUUGCUUAGAGUUCAUAUGUUGUUUGUUUAGAAUAUCUGUGCUUAUAUUUUGCUAGUAUUUUUUUAUAUUCCAAUCCAGAAAAAAUAAAGCGGGAAGAAACACCAGUGGUACUCCCUCUAUUCGGGAUUAGAAAACCUUUAUCCAUAAUUUAGAAGUUCAAGAUUAGAAGGUCCCUCUCCAAAUGUCCCUUUUAGCUCUGUCCACUAUUUAUUUAUUUUUACUCCAAAAUGGAUUUCCUUGAAUUCGAUAAUUUUGCCUCACAGGUGUUUUGCUUUGGUACCUGAGUUUUAUCUUGGUACCUGUUUUUUCAACAUUAAAUACAUUCAUCUUUUUUUACCACUACAUGCUUUGGUGGCCAUUUUUCAAAAGUGAUCCUGUAAAUCUGAGUGGGUUGAGUUAACACGACUGUUAUUCUAAUGUUUUCCUACUAUCUGCCUGAUGUUGCCAUUUCCUUAUUCUGUCCGGCUUUUCGUGUGUCUGUAUCCUCUGCCACGCUGUAUUUCUUUACGGAGAGAUCAGCCAUCAGCGUUGUCUUUCGCACUUUUUUUUAACACAAAAACCAGAUAUAUUAUGAAGCACGUCUUACGAUGUGAUGGCGCGAUGCUAUAGAUCGAUGUUGAUUGUGCAUGGUCUUUACACCUACUGACCUGGGUUGUGAAUUAAGUAGGUUUCUGAGCACAAGACCUAACUGAAUUGAUGGUUAACGUCAUGGGUGUGUACUACAAGUCUACAACCAUGAUUUUUGCUUAUAGUGCCAUUUGAGCUAUACUUUUUGCACAUGAUGGAUCUACGACUUAGGCAUAGAGGUAGUAGUUAAUUGUGUGCGUAGAAACGUUACUACUACCUAAAAAUUCAGCUAGACAAAGUGGUUAUAGCACGGUCUCGGAUGUUGUGUUUGAAAUGUGGAGGUCGUAUUCGAGACAGUUUAACCAUUUUGAACAAACAAUAUGGGCUAUAUUUUAUUUUAAAUGCCUGAAAAGGAAAUCUUGUCAUGUAUGAGUUUUGAUGAAUGAUGACAACUUGGUUGAGGUAUUAAUGAACUACAUGAAAUGUUUCAGGUUUUAGUUUCUCGGAACAAUUGGUUUAACCAGCGGUAGUGACCCCUCAAAAUUGAAGAGUAGAUAUGGGUUUUAAGCACGUAGGAUAAUGAAGAUUAAGGAUGCUUCCUAAACUUACCGAAGCUUUGUCUUCAUUUGAUUAUAUGACAAGUCGAACUAUUAAGGGGGAUUUGAAGUGUGAAGCUGGUCAGGGCGAAACCAUGUUUUUCAUGUUCAUCGUAGGUGAAAAGCAAUUUUUAUGUGUGUUAAGAAUGAAGCAUUUCAUGUUUCUUAAGGUCUUUAAAAACCAAGUCUUCAACCAGAGUUCAACUGUGUUUGAAAAUUUAUUUGCCGCGUUGUGACUUGACCACGUGGACUAUCCGUUUUGACUCAGUUGAAAAACCUGAGACAAAGGAGUCUCAAAGGUUGCUUUUUCAACGGCUAGCCCCACGAGGUCUCGACUACAUAAGUCGACCCAGCCCCGAUGUGAUCCGGUGGUGAUUACCUGGAAAACGUUUUGAAGAAAACCUUAGAGCUGAACUGAUCGUGAAGAAUUAUAGAAUUCCUAUCCUAGUCGAGCACUUGAAGCUUGUUGUUCUUAGUGAUUGGUAUCACCUUCUUAUCUAAUCACCCAGGACGCAAUCCUGGGCAUGAGGAGUAAAAAUUCACUUUUUUUUCAUUUUUUCUUACAAAUUGGAUUUGUUUCUUACAUUUAUCUAUGAGAAAAAUCGUGGGUUCAGAAUUCCUACCAAUUUGAAUGUCCUAAAUGAUACGAGGUAGCGUAAAGAGAGGGAUUCGAACCAUCGCUACAAAAAAAAAAUGUACAACGGACCGCGACUUUAGUUCACUCAGCCAUCUCUCUCCGUUCCAAAUUCUUGGUGAUUGGCAUCACCUAGACGGUUAGAAAUCAGUGUUGAAGAGCAAUCGAAACUUGUGAUUUGUCAACAACCAGUCUGUGAAGGUUCGGAGAUCACCUCAAGAUCUAGCAUGAGUAACUGGGCGAGAUUUUGGUCUUAACAUAGGAGGAUUGGGUGAACUUGUGUGUACGUGAGUCUUGCGUGACUCGGCCCCCUCAACGGAGACCUAUGAUCGUGCCAACGAUCUGAACUUCGGGAGACAAAUUGCCGUGUCUUCGUCUCUCCAGUGAACUCGUUCCUCUGCAUAGCUUGUCCCAAAACUCUUCUGCUAAUUGCUUCCGAACUUGUCUAUUUUACUUCUUUACUUUCCUGUGUUUUGUGUUCUUCAUUCCGCCGCUAUUCUGAACAUAUGUUAAAACUUGCGAAGAACUUAACUUGUUAAGAGAAGACUUCGGACUGGAAAGCUUCGGUCUUCAGUCUUCAUAAUUUUGAAGAAUCUUAAAACUGGGCAUCGACAACACUAGGGAGAGGUGUGAUGAGGACAUCCCUACUUCUUUAUCAUCAACUCCAAUUGAUGAUGUUGCUGCACAAGACAAGGCCAAUGAAGUUAGACUUGGGCCAAUAACAAGAGCACGUGCGACGCUACUUGAACAACAGGUGAACUCACUCUUAAUUGAAUCUGAUGUUUUAAUUGAUGAGAGCUUUAUACUACCUAAGUCUAUGCAUUUAUGUAUGAUCAGAUUUGAAGAUGUUUCAAGCCUUGCACGUGGAGGAGGAGAGUUGCAGCAAGAUCCAUUCCCGUUGAUUUCCAAUAUAAAGAAGAGCGCGAGGGAGGAGAGGGAGGCCGGCGCACCACAUGAAGAGGAGGAAAUAAAACAGCAAUAGAAGUUGUCGUGGCUGAUGCUAGGACAAGUCCUACGACACGUCAAACAUGUCUAAGGCAUCAGCGCACGUCGAGGAGCAUGUGACACACAUAGGGCUGCCUACGACAUGGUUUAUUUGCCUAAGUGUGAGUUGGGCCUGCGUGCUCAUAGUUUGGGCUGAACCCAACAUUUUGGGUCAGUUUGUAUCAAGUUUGGGUUGAACCAAGUUCGAGUCCGAGUCCAAUUAGGUUGCUGGACGUCCACCCUCCUAUAUAAGUUGAGGGGCGCCCACGAUUAGGGUUAGACCACGUUUAGAUUAUUCAGAACCUUUUGUUGAAGUGCUACAAGCAUUCAUCUAAAAUUAUAUUCCUCUUUGAUUCGAUCA
Brachypodium distachyon (stiff brome) is the source of this 6987-nucleotide long non-coding RNA. RefSeq lists it as uncharacterized. The record is from RefSeq and is a predicted model, not a curated record. The transcript has 4 exons. Lineage: Eukaryota; Viridiplantae; Streptophyta; Magnoliopsida; Poales; Poaceae.